UAGUCAAUUGGCAUUACGAUU
RNAcentral lists this non-coding RNA (21 nucleotides) under Caenorhabditis elegans. The record is from RNAcentral. Lineage: Eukaryota; Metazoa; Nematoda; Chromadorea; Rhabditida; Rhabditidae.